RNAcentral lists this microRNA precursor (98 nucleotides) under Loxodonta africana (African savanna elephant). Its description in RNAcentral is "mir-544 microRNA precursor family". It matches the Rfam family "mir-544 microRNA precursor family". Lineage: Eukaryota; Metazoa; Chordata; Mammalia; Proboscidea; Elephantidae. The record is from Rfam by way of RNAcentral.
AUCACCUAGGGAUCUUGUUAAAAGGCAGAUUCUGAUUCAGUAGGCCUGGGGUGAGGCCUGAGCAUCUGCAUUUCUCACAAGCUCCCUGGAGAUGCCCA